GCCGUGGCUUUAUGACAGAGCAACUGUUUGGCACGCAGGAGGCUCCAGGUUCAAUUUCUGGCAUCAGUU
This 69-nucleotide transfer RNA is filed under the name Sphaerodactylus townsendi. RNAcentral describes it as "tRNA-Ala". Lineage: Eukaryota; Metazoa; Chordata; Lepidosauria; Squamata; Sphaerodactylidae. The record is from RNAcentral.